This 65-nucleotide transfer RNA is filed under the name Dipodomys ordii (Ord's kangaroo rat). It matches the Rfam family "tRNA". From Rfam's summary of the family: Transfer RNA (tRNA) molecules are approximately 80 nucleotides in length. Lineage: Eukaryota; Metazoa; Chordata; Mammalia; Rodentia; Heteromyidae. The record is from Rfam by way of RNAcentral.
GGUGGCUCAGUGGUAGAGCGCUUGCCUUUUAUGCUUGAGGCCCUGGGUUCGAUUCCUCAGCACCA